GGAAGGAUCAUUAACACGUAUCCACGUUAUCAACCAACUGCGAACACGUUUUCAAAUCUCCCUGCCUUUGUACAUGAAUUGACUCGUUCUCUGAGGAAUGGAAUGCUGAGCUUGCUCGGAUCCUCAGAUUACUAAUUGUGUGUGGCGCAAGCUGCACACAGACAAUUGUAGUACUCGUAAGGUCAGGCAAACCUCUUCUACUCUGCGCUUUUCGCUUCCAUGAAAAGAGUUGAGUGGGAAACAAUAAUAACAAAUUUCACCCCCUUUUUGCUAGUUGACUUUUAUAUGUUGUAAGCGUAGCAGACUUCAUUGUCUAUUGCGACUACACACGUUUAUCUAUUUGAACGUUAAAAUUACAACUCUUAGCAAUGGAUAUCUUGGUUCUCGCAACGAUGAAGAACGCAGCGAAAUGCGAUACGUAAUGCGAAUUGCAGAAUUCAGUGAAUCAUCAAAUCUUUGAACGCAAAUUGCGCUCUUGGGUAGCCCUAGGAGCACGCCUCUCUCAGUAUCGGUUCAACAACCUCUCAGCAGCGUAUUCAUUUACGCGUUGGCUGGAUAAUGAGAGUCUGAGUGUACACACGCUCAGUCUCUUGAAAUACAUCGAGUGAGUAUCAUCACAUGCCUACGCAUUCUUGUCGCAAGACAGGAGCCAAGUCUCUGACUGGUUGCACGACAGCAAAGUGACGUGAAUACUGACCCUCGUGGUCUCACAUUUACGUGUAACUUCUGUUCGGGCUUCUACUUUAAAGGUCUAGGACUCUGGUGUCGUUUGGGAGCAGGUGUACUCGCGUUAAGCGGUCGCAAGACUGCAAUCGGCUUUUGGCAAUUUAUUGUUGAAGUCUGAAUUUUGAUCUGAGAUGAAGCGAGACAACCCCCUGAAUUUAAGCAUAUUAAUAAGGGGAGGAAAAGAAACUAACAAGGAUUCCCCCAGUAACGGCGAGUGAAGCGGGAAGAGCUCAAUUUGAAAAUCGUCUACCUAAGCGGGUCGACGAGUUGUAGCCUAGAGACGUACUAUCAGCUGGAACCUGGGUAUAAGUUCUUUGGAAUGAGGCAUCAUAGAGGGUGAGAAUCCCGUAUAUGACCCAAAGCUUUCAGCGUACGAUGUAUGUUCAUCGAGUCGAGUUGUUUGGGAUUGCAGCUCUAAAUGGGUGGUAAGUUUCAUCUAAAGCUAAAUAAUGGCGAGAGACCGAUAGCGAACAAGUACCGUGAGGGAAAGAUGAAAAGAACUUUGAAAAGAGAGUUAAAAGUACUUGAAAUUGCUAAGAGGGAAGCGCUGACAACCAGUGCUUCACGCCGUUCAUCGCUGUCAGCCCCACUGGGCGACGUGCGCAGUUGGUCAAACUCUGCGUCGCGUCGUCGAAAGGGAGGUUGGCGGUUUAGGACGGCGGGUGAGUCAAGAUCCGUUCGGUGUUUCUGUGGGAGAAAGUGGUGAGAAAGGUAGGAAACCUCGGUUUCUGUUAUAGUCUCAUCACCCUACCUCGGCCUGGACGGAGGAAGGAAUAGUGCGCCGCUUGCGGCUUAGUCCCGCGUCUCUACGGCCCCAACUGUGUUGAUAGCAAUGCUAUCCUCACGGCGAAGUGGUCGUACUGGGCGCGGUGACUCUAUGUGCUAUCACGAUCUUGUACGAAAUGGUUGUCAUCGACCCGUCUUGAAACACGGACCAAGGAGUCUAACAUCUAUGCGAGUAUUUGAGUGAAAAACUCUGAUGCGCAAUGAAAGUAAAGGCGGUCUUCGGACUGCUGAGGUAGGAAUCCGGUCAAACGGAGGCACUAUCGACCGAUCAUCACUUGUGAAAGAUUUGAGUAAGAGCAUAUCUGUUGGGACCCGAAAGAUGGUGAUCUAUGCCUGAACAGGGUGAAGCCAGGGGAAACUCUGGUGGAGGCUCGUAGCGAUACUGACGUGCAAAUCGUUCGUCUGAUUUGGGUAUAGGGGCGAAAGACUAAUCGAACCAUCUAGUAGCUGGUUCCCUC
Molecule: unclassified non-coding RNA, 1970 nt
Filed under: uncultured fungus
Lineage: Eukaryota; Fungi
Description: sequence contains 18S rRNA gene, ITS1, 5.8S rRNA gene, ITS2, 28S rRNA gene
Rfam family: Eukaryotic large subunit ribosomal RNA (bases 849-1970)
Source: RNAcentral